UAAAAAGAUAAGCUAAUUAUAAGCUAUUAGGUUCAUACCCUAACUAUAGAAGUAAAAUCUUCUUCUUUUUAA
This 72-nucleotide transfer RNA is filed under the name Koreocerus koreanus. Its description in RNAcentral is "tRNA-Met". Lineage: Eukaryota; Metazoa; Arthropoda; Insecta; Hemiptera; Cicadellidae. The record is from RNAcentral.